UCGAGAAUCUUCGGCAAUGCGCGAAAGCGUGACCGAGCAAUGCUGCGUGCGGGAUGAAGGCCUUCGGGUUGUAAACCGUAAAAGUAAGGAGGAAGGCUCCGUGAAGAGCGGAGUUUGACCUAACUACAGUAAGGACGGGCUAAGUUCGUGCCAGCAGCCGCGGUAAGACGAACCGUCCAAACGUUAUUCGGAAUUAUUGGGCUUAAAGGGUGCGUAGGCGGCGCUGUAAGUCAGGUGUGAAAUCCCACGGCUCAACCGUGGAACUGCGCUUGAUACUGCAGUGCUUGAGGGAGACAGAGGUAAGCGGAACUGAUGGUGGAGCGGUGAAAUGCGUUGAUAUCAUCAGGAACACCAGUGGCGAAAGCGGCUUACUGGGUCUCUUCUGACGCUGAGGCACGAAAGCUAGGGUAGCGAACGGGAUUAGAUACCCCUGUAGUCC
This 439-nucleotide ribosomal RNA is filed under the name uncultured prokaryote. RNAcentral describes it as "bacterial SSU rRNA". It matches the Rfam family "Bacterial small subunit ribosomal RNA", at positions 355 to 796 of the family's 1533-position model. The record is from RNAcentral.